UCCGGGUUGAUCCUGCCAGAGGUUACUGCUAUCGGUGUUCGACUAAGCCAUGCGAGUCAUAUGUUCUUCGUGAACAUGGCGGACUGCUCAGUAACACGUGGAUAACCUGCCCUUAGGUUUGGCAUAACUCCGGGAAACUGGAGAUAAUUCCGAAUAGGUCAAAUAUGCUGGAAUGCUUUUUGACCAAAAGACCUCGGUUGCCUAAGGAUGGAUCUGCGGUCUAUCAGGUAGUAGUGGGUGUAACGUACCUACUAG
Molecule: ribosomal RNA, 255 nt
Filed under: uncultured archaeon
Lineage: Archaea
Description: partial 16S ribosomal RNA
Rfam family: Archaeal small subunit ribosomal RNA
Source: RNAcentral